UAGGGAAUCUUCCGCAAUGGGCGAAAGCCUGACGGAGCAACGCCGCGUGAGUGAUGAAGGUCUUCGGAUCGUAAAACUCUGUUAUUAGGGAAGAACAAAUGUGUAAGUAACUAUGCACGUCUUGACGGUACCUAAUCAGAAAGCCACGGCUAACUACGUGCCAGCAGCCGCGGUAAUACGUAGGUGGCAAGCGUUAUCCGGAAUUAUUGGGCGUAAAGCGCGCGUAGGCGGUUUUUUAAGUCUGAUGUGAAAGCCCACGGCUCAACCGUGGAGGGUCAUGGGAAACUGGAAGACUUGAGUGAAGAAGAGGAAAGUGGAGUUCCAUGUGUAGCGGUGAAAUGCGCAGAGAUAGGGAGGAACACCAGUGGCGAAGGCGACUUUCUGGUCGGUAACUGACGCUGAUGUGCGAAAGCGUGGGGAUCAAACAGG
Molecule: ribosomal RNA, 429 nt
Filed under: Actinomycetes bacterium
Lineage: Bacteria; Bacillati; Actinomycetota; Actinomycetes
Description: Actinobacteria bacterium partial 16S ribosomal RNA
Rfam family: Bacterial small subunit ribosomal RNA
Source: RNAcentral